This is a long non-coding RNA of Diorhabda carinulata, 2076 nucleotides long. RefSeq lists it as uncharacterized. Lineage: Eukaryota; Metazoa; Arthropoda; Insecta; Coleoptera; Chrysomelidae. The record is from RefSeq and is a predicted model, not a curated record. The transcript is spliced from 2 exons.
AUUAUGAUAGAUUGAUUUUACUACUAACCUACUUAGUGCAGCCAAGGUUCACUGCAGGAUUAAACUAUCAAAGUGUCGAAGGAUUCAAGAUUUUCUUCGACAAAAUCCAACCUACUUAACAGUAAAUUCAAGUUCAAACUUUCCAGCAGGAAGAAAUGGGAACUAAAACACGUCAUCUUGCUUUCAGAUGAUGACAUCUACUACAUGAAUACAUGGGUGAUUCCGUUCUAACUGUGAUAUUCAAUGUCCUGUAUUGUUUUUUUGUACUAGUCAUUAAUUAAUAAUCAAUUAAUAAAAAUUUUGUGUUAAUUGAAUAAUUCUUAAGAUAUUUAAACAUUAUUUUUAUACAAUAUAACUUGCCACUUAAAGAAAACUUAUACUACAUCACUUGAAUGUCAGUACCGUGUCAUGUCCAUUCCUAGAAUUUACCGAUAAAUUAUUAAUUUUUUUUGUCGUAACAAAUGAUUUAAACUAAUUACCUUAUAAAUUCUAAUGUUUAUGAUCAAACUGAGGAAAAUUGAUGCACUUGUUGUUUAAUAUCUUAAGUUACCAUGUCAGUACCGUGGAUAAAUGAGUCAGUACCGUGGAACUCAAAAUCCGACAUUUGUGUCUUGCUCGUGAUACUUUGAAGUUGUAGUAAAUUCCUCUUAGAGUUUUAUUUUUACAGUAAAAUAGAUGAAUAAUAUGCAUAAAAAAGUUAGAAAAGUUAAAUUUUAAAAUCUUGAAAUUUUGAAUACAAAAAAUCACAGUUAGAACGGAAUCACCCACAUCUAAAAAGUAUAUAAGCAAAAAGGAAGUAAAGGACAUGCUUCUGUUAGGUACCUAGGCUUACUUCCGUAGAUAAUAUCCACCAUAUCAAAGCAGAUUUUGAAUUGCUACAAUGCGCUAGCUGUCGAAAGGUAGAUUUGCUUUGAAAGCACUCGUCUUCUGCAACAAAUCUUGGUGUACAUUUCAGAAUUGAUCAUUCUACGUUGCUCUAUUGGAACGGUGACGAAAUAUUCGACAAAACAGUCGACCAUUUGCCUCCAAGUGCUAAUGAAGUGCGCGAACAAUUUCAGUUGGAUUUGGCUCGUCUUGAUAGAUUGACAAAUCUUUUUGACAGCCAAAUCUUCAAUGUAUGCGAGUGAAACUAAUGCCUCUAUCUCACAGUAUGUCACAUGACGAUCUGGCAAUAUCAGUUGACCCAGAACAUCGAUUUAUAUCAAUUUUUAGACCAAGACGAAUAUUUCAAGUUUCAACUCAAAUAGCAUUCGUAUUACAACACGCUCACCAUUAAAAAUGUCAAACUUCAUGAUGGUUACGUUAGGGCCUUUUCACACCAAACGAAUCCGAAUCAAUCAGAAUCACUCCUAAUCAAGUUGAAUCUGAUUCAAUCAGGUUUGAUUCGAGGUUGCACUUGAUUCAACCUGAUUCCUCGUACGGUCAGUCUUGAAUCAACAACCAUACGAGAUGGACGUGGAGUUACUAAUUUUAAAAGUUUUUAUUGCGCAGUGAUUCAGCGGGUGUGAAAGGGUGGAGAUGACUAAUCAGAUUCAACUUGAUUCGGAUUCGUUUGGUGUGAAAGGGGCCUUAGAUAUGACAUAUUCACAUAUCUCAAAACUUGAGUAGCAGCCCUCGUAUUUUCUAUUGCUACAGCUUCACGGUAUUUAUGAUUUUACUCUUUUAAAUGUUGAACAGGAUUUGGUUUUGUUUAAUUUAAAUCGUCACAUUUUUCUGGUUAGUUCAUUGGUCGCUUUUAGAAAUGUCUUGUUCUCGAAUUUUCAUUUUUUGCAAUCAGAUUUUGACAUUAAUAUUAUUCUAAUGGUGGGUAACGAAAUUAGUUGGAAAAUAAAUAUGAUAUCUUGAAUACAGACACAUAAAUUCAAUGGAAGAAUUUGUUUAUCGAUUACCAAUGCCAAUGUUUUUUUUUUCAUAAUUGCUAGUCACUAUUUCCACUGGAAUUUUUAAAAUAAUAAUCGUCGUAGCCUUAAGAAGAAUCGGACGGCGUUAUUUGAAGAAACCUUCGUUUUAAUAUAUACAAUUACAUCAUUUAACUGUACGUUUCAUGUACGAAAUAAAAACAAAUUGUAUAUAUAA